GGCUGCAGUGUAGGGCAGGCAAUGUCAGGCCCCAUCCUGAAUCCCCGGGAAAGUCCUAAAGACUGUUCAGCUCCAGCCUUCCACAACAAGAACUAGGGGGAGCAUAAAUGGCACGGACCAGCAAUCCAGGGGCCCAGUCCUCGUGGGUAUAUGUGCAUAAGCAGCUCUGCCCUAGCUAUGGUCCUAAUACACUGUAAGGUCUUAAUACAGCCCUUCUGGAGGGAGCCGGAAGUCAGUUCUGGGCAAUCCUAGGAUCUGAUUGAAUUCCCUCUGUUCUGUACAGAGAGCAUUUCUCUGACAUUGUUUGAAAAACAAGAACUCCAGCACAUUCAGUGGAAGGAUUUUUAAAGGACCAGAACUGCACCUGCUUUCACUUGCCUGACUGGGAGGGGAGCCACGUGUCUUCCUGAGCACUAGCAAGAGUUUUUGGCCGUAAGGUGCCAUUCUGCAGUGGGGAAAGCGAAACAGAGUAGGGGAAGUGGCUUGCCAAAGAUCACCCUGGACAUCAGAGGUAGGACUGAGAAUAUAGCCCAGACAGGUGCAUGGCUAUGCCUUUACACAGUGUAAGUGCUACUGUGGGCACAGGUCUGUUAAGACUCAAAAAGGCUUUGAAUGGACCUACAGACACCACAUGUUUCCUUCUCGAGAAGAUUUUGUCAGCCCCCUUUUCUGUCCAGCUGCCCGGUUCGCCCAUGCUUCUGUCUGGGUCUGCCAACACCCAUCAGACAGGAGAUAGCAGGACACCACCCGCCUCAGUGCUCCAGAAGUGGCUUGGUGGAGCAGCACAUGCAACUACUGUCAAUGCAGCAGCAUCUGGGGCAGCUCAGCAGAGACCUCUGCCAGGACCAGCACUGGCACCUCAGAGGGGCUGCUUCACGGAGGUUUUGCUCCCAAUUCCUGCAAGCAGGGAAGGUUGUUCUGCCUCUGAAAGCCGGUGCCAAAUUAUGUUCCAACAGCUGUAUGUUCUCCAGCAUGAGUCAUCCCCACCCUGAGCGCUAAGCCUAUCCACAACAACAUUCCUUCUUUGUGAUCUAAGGUCCUGGCUAGGUUAAAUUGCCAUCUAACAUCACUCUUCCCCUCCCGCCUCCUUGCAACCUAUUGGGAUGUCUGAGUUCUAAGACAAGAGAGACUAAGAGAUCAAAGUCCAUCGUUGGACCUCCCCCACUCCUGAGGAAAUCAUGAGAUUCAUGCCAAAAAUCAUGGGAUUUCUUUUUUCAGAAAUAGGUUGUUUUUCCAGUGUUUGAACUCCUCUGUGCAUGACAAUUAAUGCUGCCCACCCUUCCAGACUUACUGACUACGGUGAUUUUGGUCUUUUGCUGAGGCAGCAGCUCCUGCCCUCACAUCUGCCCGUCUCCUACCUAGCAAUAAAUUCUUCCCCCUCCCCCUCAAAAAACCCUCCAAAUGAAUCCUGCACAUCCUACAUCAGUUCUGCUGCCUGCAUUGAUUCUCCUGCGCCCGGCAGCCCUAUCUCUGCCCCUUCUGGAUUUCUACCUCAUCCUAGCCUUCAGGAUAAGGCAGUGGUUCCCAAACUGUGGGUCGCGACCCCAAAUGGGGUCACAACGUCAGCAGAUGGAGUUGCGAUAAACGUGGCCCCUGUGAUUUCUGUGCCCACAGUAGGGUGCAGGGCUGCAGCUGGGCUACGCCGGCUCCGGGCAGAAGCUGCCUCUGCAGCUGAGCGCGUGGGACCGAUCGUGGGAGGGAGGGCUGCGCCACCACAGCUGCCAAGGUGAGGGGUGGCAGCGGCACGGGGUUGUGCCCACACUGCUGCCGAGUGAGCAGGGGGCAUCUCAGCAUCAUCCUG
Molecule: long non-coding RNA, 1801 nt
Organism: Gavialis gangeticus (Gharial)
Lineage: Eukaryota; Metazoa; Chordata; Crocodylia; Gavialidae
Exons: 4
Source: RefSeq, a predicted model, not a curated record